Molecule: ribosomal RNA, 427 nt
Filed under: uncultured bacterium
Lineage: Bacteria
Description: partial 16S ribosomal RNA
Rfam family: Bacterial small subunit ribosomal RNA
Source: RNAcentral
UGGGGAAUAUUGGACAAUGGGCGAAAGCCUGAUCCAGCCAUGCCGCGUGUGUGAAGAAGGUCUUCGGAUUGUAAAGCACUUUAAGUUGGGAGGAAGGGCAGUAAGUUAAUACCUUGCUGUUUUGACGUUACCGACAGAAUAAGCACCGGCUAACUCUGUGCCAGCAGCCGCGGUAAUACAGAGGGUGCAAGCGUUAAUCGGAAUUACUGGGCGUAAAGCGCGCGUAGGUGGUUCGUUAAGUUGGAUGUGAAAGCCCCGGGCUCAACCUGGGAACUGCAUCCAAAACUGGCGAGCUAGAGUAUGGUAGAGGGUGGUGGAAUUUCCUGUGUAGCGGUGAAAUGCGUAGAUAUAGGAAGGAACACCAGUGGCGAAGGCGACCACCUGGACUAAUACUGACACUGAGGUGCGAAAGCGUGGGGAGCAAACA